UACGUAGGUGACAAGCGUUGUCCGGAUUUAUUGGGCGUAAAGAGCGCGUAGGCGGUCCGGUAAGUCGGUUGUGAAAGUCGGGGGCUCAACCCUCGGAUGCCGAUCGAUACUGUCGGGCUAGAGUCCGGAAGAGGCGAGUGGAAUUCCUGGUGUAGCGGUGAAAUGCGCAGAUAUCAGGAAGAACACCCGUGGCGAAAGCGGCUCUCUGGAACGGUACUGACGCUGAGACGCGAAAGCGUGGGGAGCGAACAGG
This 253-nucleotide ribosomal RNA is filed under the name uncultured bacterium. RNAcentral's name for it is "partial 16S ribosomal RNA". It matches the Rfam family "Bacterial small subunit ribosomal RNA", at positions 524 to 776 of the family's 1533-position model. The record is from RNAcentral.